Molecule: transfer RNA, 70 nt
Filed under: Phrynosoma platyrhinos (Desert horned lizard)
Lineage: Eukaryota; Metazoa; Chordata; Lepidosauria; Squamata; Phrynosomatidae
Description: tRNA-OTHER
Source: RNAcentral
GCCAGCAUGGCGUAGUGGUUUGAGUGUUGAACUAUGACUUGGAAACCAGGGUUUGAUUCCCUGCUUGACC